GAUGAACGCUGGCGGCGUGCUUAACACAUGCAAGUCGAACGGGAAUUACUUUAUUGAAGCUUCGGUCGAUUUAAUUUAAUUCUAGUGGCGGACGGGUGAGUAACGCGUGGGUAACCUGCCUUGUACAGGGGGAUAACAGUCAGAAAUGGCUGCUAAUACCGCAUAAGCGCACAGAGCUGCAUGGCUCAGUGUGAAAAACUCCGGUGGUAUAAGAUGGACCCGCGUUGGAUUAGCUUGUUGGUGGGGUAACGGCCCACCAAGGCGACGAUCCAUAGCCGGCCUGAGAGGGUGAACGGCCACAUUGGGACUGAGACACGGCCCAG
Molecule: ribosomal RNA, 323 nt
Filed under: uncultured bacterium
Lineage: Bacteria
Description: bacterial SSU rRNA
Rfam family: Bacterial small subunit ribosomal RNA
Source: RNAcentral